Molecule: ribosomal RNA, 497 nt
Filed under: uncultured bacterium
Lineage: Bacteria
Description: partial 16S ribosomal RNA
Rfam family: Bacterial small subunit ribosomal RNA
Source: RNAcentral
GACGAACGCUGGCGGCGUGCCUAAUACAUGCAAGUUGAGCGCUGAAGGUUGGUUCUUGUACCAACUGGAUGAGCAGCGAACGGGUGAGUAACGCGUGGGGAAUCUGCCUUUGAGCGGGGGACAACAUUUGGAAACGAAUGCUAAUACCGCAUAAAAACUUUAAACACAAGUUUUAAGUUUGAAAGAUGCAAUUGCAUCACUCAAAGAUGAUCCCGCGUUGUAUUAGCUAGUUGGUGAGGUAAAGGCUCACCAAGGCGAUGAUACAUAGCCGACCUGAGAGGGUGAUCGGCCAAAUUGGGAAUGAGAAAAGGCCCAAAAGCCUACGGGAGGCAGCAGUAGGGAAACUUCGGCAAUGGACGAAAGACUGACCGAGCAACGCCGCGGGAGUGAAGAAGGCUGUCGGAUCGUAAAACUCGGUUGGUAGAGAAGAACGUUGGUGAGAGUGGAAAGCUCAUAAAGUGACGGUAACUACACAGAAAGGGACGGCUAACUACGUG